RNAcentral lists this ribosomal RNA (419 nucleotides) under bacterium. RNAcentral describes it as "partial 16S ribosomal RNA". It matches the Rfam family "Bacterial small subunit ribosomal RNA", at positions 355 to 776 of the family's 1533-position model. The record is from RNAcentral.
UGGGGGAUAUUGCACAAUGGGCGAAAGCCUGAUGCAGCGACGCCGCGUGGGGGAUGAAGGCCUUCGGGUUGUAAACUUCUUUUGCUCUGAACAAGGCAUGCUAAUGGGUGUGUUGAGUGUAGGGGUUGAUUAGCGCCGGCUAACUACGUGCCAGCAGCCGCGGUAAUACGUAGGGCGCGAGCGUUGUCCGGAAUUAUUGGGCGUAAAGGGCUUGUAGGUGGCUGGUUGCGUCUGUCGUGAAAGCUCAUGGCUUAACUGUGGGUUUGCGGUGGGUACGGGCUGUCUUGAGUGCAGUAGGGGAGGCUGGAAUUCCUGGUGUAGCGGUGGAAUGCGCAGAUAUCAGGAGGAAUACCGGUGGCGAAGGCGGGUCUCUGGGCUGUUACUGACACUGAGGAGCGAAAGCAUGGGGAGCGAACAGG